RNAcentral lists this unclassified non-coding RNA (300 nucleotides) under uncultured fungus. RNAcentral describes it as "sequence contains 5.8S rRNA gene, ITS2". The stretch from base 1 to 71 matches the Rfam family "5.8S ribosomal RNA", at positions 84 to 154 of the family's 154-position model. Lineage: Eukaryota; Fungi. The record is from RNAcentral.
GUGAAUCAUCGAAUCUUUGAACGCACAUUGCGCUCUUUGGUAUUCCGAAGAGCACGCCUGUUUGAGUAUCGAAAAAACCAUCACGACCUUGUUCUUGUGAGUUCGCUCCUCAGGACAUGAUAACGUGGAGUUGGGCUGUAUCUGCUUUCGCGAGCAGGUGGCCUCAAAGGAGAGCGUUGGAAGCUGGAUCUCCUCUACUGGGAUCGCUGCCCGAAAUGUACUGAAUUGGAGUAACCUUCAUUUUUCUUUCUUGCAGUUGAGCCUAGUGGAGAACCGGUCGACCGAUCAACCCACUACCAC